AGUGAACGCUGGCGGUAGGCCUAACACAUGCAAGCCGAACGGCAGCACAGUAAGAGCUUGCUCUUACGGGUGGCGAGUGGCGGACGGGUGAGGAAUACAUCGGAAUCUACUUUUUCGUGGGGGAUAACGUAGGGAAACUUACGCUAAUACCGCAUACGACCUACGGGUGAAAGCAGGGGAUCUUCGGACCUUGCGCGAUUGAAUGAGCCGAUGUCGGAUUAGCUAGUUGGCGGGGUAAAGGCCCACCAAGGCGACGAUCCGUAGCUGGUCUGAGAGGAUGAUCAGCCACACUGGAACUGAGACACGGUCCAGACUCCUACGGGAGGCAGCAGUGGGGAAUAUUGAACAAUGGGCGCAAGCCUGAUCCAGCCAUACCGCGUGGGUGAAGAAGGCCUUCGGGUUGUAAAGCCCUUUUGUUGGGAAAGAAAAGCAGCAGGUUAAUACCCCGCUGUUCUGACGGUACCCAAAGAAUAAGCACCGGCUAACUUCGU
Molecule: ribosomal RNA, 491 nt
Filed under: uncultured bacterium
Lineage: Bacteria
Description: partial 16S ribosomal RNA
Rfam family: Bacterial small subunit ribosomal RNA
Source: RNAcentral